GGUUGGGGGCGUGGCUCUCUGUAUUUCUAUCCUGCGGUCGUUACUAAAGUUGGUAUAACUAGAGAAGCAAGUGGUCGACAACAUUCAUCUCUGGAGGGGGGGUCUAACUUGGUCUGUUUGACCCUAAAUUGAUUUUAAACUGAAAUACCCUAUUAAGGGGUUAAAUUUUCUGUAACACAAACUACACACUUGCACAUUACUUCUGUUGGUGUUUGAUUCAGCACUGUAAAAGUUCAAUGAAUAAGACGAAUAUCUUUGAGGCUGAAACCCUUUUUUUUCCUUUAUGCAACAGUCGAUGUUAAACGGAAACUAGAGUUUCAACAUUGCUGAUAAUCGAAAAAGGAAAUUGAAGUUUUUGUGCCUUUCAGCUCCAAGGAUGAGCUUUUAAACUCCAGUGGAGGAGAUGUUUUUAUACAAGAGGAGAGACAGAUGAUGCUGCUGCGCUUGUCUCUGUUCAUGAGUGAGUAGAAAGCCUCUGCAGAACACCUUACCUAAGAGGUAUUUUUAGACACCUAGGACUUUUUCUGCACUCACAGGCCGCGUUUGUUUUCAACCUAAGAGGAAGAACCAGCGUGAAGUCCGGGACAAACCGCAAUCUGACAUUUCAAAAGCAGGCAGAAACUUGUUUGUUACUGUGAAACCCUGACACCCUGCCUCCGGACUGAGUCAGAGCCACGAUUUCCUGAUAACCAUCAGUGACACCUGCUGACCCGUGGCACUAAGUAAUAAAAGGUCAAAGCAUGGUGGGUAAUGAGAGGGGAAGGGGUUAUGAGUCACCGCUGGAGCUGCUGGGCUCUGACAGAAGUGAGGACAGUUUCGGACUUUUUGAUUUCAUUUCCCACGGACUCUCUCCUGAGGUUAAAGGAGAUAUAGACCCGUGUCACAGCGAGAUUUAACAUCUCAGACAUUCUACUCGCCAUCACUGCCAAGAGUCAGCCUCAUAACGUGAGUUUUGUGUCUCAAAAGUGGAUAUGUUUCUGGAUUGAGUCCAGCCACUGACAGUGGGGCAAAAACGUAUUUGGCAGCAACUGAUUCUGCAAGUUGUUCCACUUAUAAAGAUGAGAGAGGCCUGUAAUGUUCAUCUUAGGUAAACUUCAACUGUGAGAGACAGAAUGUUAAAAAAAAAUCCAAGAAAUUACGUUAUAUAAUUUUUAAAGAAUUUAUUUGUUUAGUGGUGCAGAAAAUAAGUAUUUAGCACCUUCAAACAAGCAAGAUUUCUGGGCCUCACAGACCUGUUACUUCGUCAUUAAGAAGCUUUUCUAUCCUCCACUCGUUAUCUCAAUUAAAGACACCUGUCCACACUCUUAAACUGUCAGACUGCAACCUCUCCACUUUGGAGACCUCUCCACUCCUCUACAGCCCCGGUUGAUACAUGAUUGAGAUUUUGCAUGAAGACAGUUGGUGGAAGUUUGCGAAGAGUCCGACUUUCACUUUGAAAUGAUUUCACUUCACUUCUGAUUUUAAAGACAGCUCUAAAGAGGAGGCGACUUCUCUAUUGUCCUUGAACUUUUGACAUAUUCUGCUAAAUUGUUUGUCAGCGCUUCAAUUAAAGGAGGGAGUGAGCAACAUUAAGAGUGAUUAACUGAACACACACACACACAUGCAAUUAGAAGAUGCUUCAAACCUCCCGGGGAGUUGGGUCUUCAGAGAUCAUGAAGCUGAAGAUUAAUGAUGCUGCUUGUUUAUUAAAGUCGAGUCUCAGAGAGGGAAAUGUUCAUUAGUAGUGUUGUUAGACUACAUGUAAUUAUAGAAAACUCCUGGACAGAUGGGUUAUUGAGAGUUAAAUGAAAAAACUCCAACAUUAAACAGGAUUGAUCUGUGUUUAAACUGAUGCACUUCUUCUGCAGCUUCAUUCCCCUGCUGGAAAAUUCUCUGAAUAAAUCGGAUCGUAAACAGCUGUGAUGUUGGGUUAAAAUGCUCCCUAUGUUUUAAGCUCUUAAAAAGCUGUUGUGACUCGGGGUCUCUGCGGCUUUGACCCCAUCAUCAGCUCCUUUAUCUGGCUCUUCAUUGUCUGUUUACCUCUGAACAAUCCAAUCUGGCUUCAAUUAGCUCUCAGGACCUCUUGGUCGGGUCGGGCGGAUGUGGAACAAUGCUCUGCCUUUGUUUAAUAUUCAUCAAAGGAGCUAUUAGCAUUCACAUUGGUAAUAUGAGAUAUAAUUAACAUUCAGGCAUUGAUUUGUGUUUUUUUUUUCUGCUUUUAGGGUUCAUUAAAAUUCUGGACUUCCAGAAGCUGAUGGAAAUCUCUCUCUG
This 2250-nucleotide long non-coding RNA is filed under the name Xyrichtys novacula (pearly razorfish). Lineage: Eukaryota; Metazoa; Chordata; Actinopteri; Labriformes; Labridae. The record is from RNAcentral.